RNAcentral lists this ribosomal RNA (1406 nucleotides) under uncultured Pseudomonadota bacterium. Its description in RNAcentral is "uncultured proteobacterium partial 16S ribosomal RNA". It matches the Rfam family "Bacterial small subunit ribosomal RNA". The record is from RNAcentral. Lineage: Bacteria; Pseudomonadati; Pseudomonadota.
GAGUUUGAUCCUGGCUCAGAGCGAACGCUGGCGGCGUACUUAACACAUGCAAGUCGAACGGGGAUCAUCGGUGUAGCAAUACAUCGGCGGUCCUAGUGGCGCACGGGUGAGUAACACGUGGGUAACCUGUCCUCGAGCUCGGGAUACCCUCUCGAAAGGGAGGCUAAUACCGGAUACGUUCCUCGGAUUGCGAAGUCUGGGGAGGAAAGGUGGCGAAAGCUACCGCUCAUGGAGGGGCUCGCGGCCUAUCAGCUAGUUGGUGGGGUAAUGGCUCACCAAGGCUAUGACGGGUAGCUGGUCUGAGAGGACGACCAGCCACACGGGAACUGAGACACGGUCCCGACUCCUACGGGAGGCAGCAGUGGGGAAUUUUCCGCAAUGGGCGAAAGCCUGACGGAGUGACGCCGCGUGGGGGACGAAGGCCUUCGGGUUGUAAACCCCUGUCAGAGGGAAAGAAGGGUCAUGUGGCUAAUAUCCACGUGAUCUGACGGUACCUUCAGAGGAAGCCCCGGCCAACUCUGUGCCAGCAGCCGCGGUAAGACAGAGGGGGCAAGCGUUGCUCGGAAUCACUGGGCGUAAAGGGCGCGUAGGCGGGAUGGCAAGUCAGUCGUGAAAUCUCUCGGCUCAACCGAGAAACGUCGGCUGAUACUGCCGUUCUUGAGGGAUGCAGAGGAGACUGGAAUUCCCGGUGUAGCGGUGAAAUGUGUAGAGAUCGGGAGGAACACCGGUGGCGAAGGCGGGUCUCUGGGCAUUUCCUGACGCUGAGGCGCGAAAGCGUGGGGAGCAAACGGGAUUAGAUACCCCGGUAGUCCACGCUGUAAACGAUGACGACUAGGUGUGGGGUGGUUUAGUCCAUUCCGUGCCGCAGCUAACGCAUUAAGUCGUCCGCCUGGGGAGUACGGCCGCAAGGUUGAAACUCAAAGGAAUUGACGGGGGCCCGCACAAGCGGUGGAGCAUGUGGUUCAAUUCGACGCAACGCGAAGAACCUUACCUGGGCUCGAAGCACAGUGGACCGGGGUAGAAAUAUCCCUUUUCGCAAGAACUGCUGUGGAGGUGCUGCAUGGCUGUCGUCAGCUCGUGUCGUGAGAUGUUGGGUUAAGUCCCGCAACGAGCGCAACCCUUAUCGUUAGUUGCCAGCGGGUCAAGCCGGGCACUCUAGCGAAACCGCCCCGGAUAACGGGGAGGAAGGUGGGGAUGACGUCAAGUCCUCAUGGCCUUUAUGUCCAGGGCUACACACGUGCUACAAUGGUCGGUACAAACCGUCGCAAACCUGCGAAGGGGAGCUAAUCGGAAAAAGCCGGCCUCAGUUCGGAUUGGAGUCUGCAACUCGACUCCAUGAAGCUGGAAUCGCUAGUAAUCGCGGAUCAGCACGCCGCGGUGAAUACGUUCCCGGGCCUUGUACACAC